This 524-nucleotide long non-coding RNA is filed under the name Dromaius novaehollandiae (emu). Its description in RNAcentral is "lncRNA (ENSDNVG00000000542.1)". The record is from RNAcentral. Lineage: Eukaryota; Metazoa; Chordata; Aves; Casuariiformes; Dromaiidae.
AUUUUUCUUCCCUCUCAGAGUAUUCUGUACUAAAAGUACCUUGUAAUAAUUUUGGGGAUUUUCUUUCUUUGUUUUGUAGAUCAAGAUCAGCUUCUUAUCGCAGGUCCAGGUCAAUCUCUCCUCGUAGGUAUAGAUCAUUUUCACCCCGCAGAUCACGGUCUGGGUCUUUAAGGAGAUCAAGGUCUAGGUCCAGAUCACGCUCGAGAUCCCGGUCUGUUGUAUGGCCCCGAAGCAGGUCUGGGUCCCAUGGUAGAUCUAAAUCUGGCUUACCUGCUAAAAGGUGAGCGUAAAUACAACUAGCACUCAGUUUUUUUGUUUUGUUACAGGUUUUUUGCUUGUCUGUGGGUUUUUUCUUUUCUUUUUUUUUUCUUUUCCCCUCCCCUCACAUGAUGCAAACUCUUUCCUUGGACAACUAUUUCAGUUGCACUUGGAAGAAUUUUUCUGCUCCUCCCCCUUUUUUUAAUGUAGGAUGAGCUGAUUUUUUGUGGCAUGGCAGACUGUUCUUCCCAGAGGGACUGGAUCUC